This 750-nucleotide long non-coding RNA is filed under the name Ananas comosus (pineapple). RNAcentral's name for it is "long non-coding RNA (ACOM_LNC021698)". Lineage: Eukaryota; Viridiplantae; Streptophyta; Magnoliopsida; Poales; Bromeliaceae. The record is from RNAcentral.
AAAAAUAAGAAAAGGGAACGCUACUAAUAAUAAUAAGAAUAAGAAUCUUUGGUGGAGGCAGAUAUUUGAUAAAUAAAUAAAUAUAUAUUGUAAUAUGUACAUAUAUAAAACUAAAUUAAUAGCACUAUUAAGUUUUCAGACUCUGGACGAAGGGAUGUUCAUUGAGGAUGAUAGUAAUUUUUUAAGGUUGAGUAGGUGGUCGGUUGAAUACUAUAAUUUAACCAAUGAAAUUUGUCAAAAAGAUCUAACGAUGAAAAAUUUGAUAGCACCAAGAGUUUUGUGCUAUUGAUAGUAUAGUAGCCUGGCACUAUAUAUAUAUAUAUAUAGAGAGAGAGAGAGAGAGAGAGAGAGAGUAGGGCUACUGUAUUUUUAUGAGUACAGAGUUUUCAUACUUAUAAGUUAUUUUCGAUGAUGGAGCUUCCGAAUCGACGAUUCAUUCCGUUAAAUAUGAUGUAGAAUAUUUGAAACUUAUAAAUAAUAAAUUUUGUAAUUUUUUAAAAUUAUAAUAAAAUCCAUCAAUAGGGCAUAAAAUAAACGAUCAAGAUCGAAUAACAUCAUAAAAAUGGAUGAUCGAAUUUUUUAAUUCAAGAUCGGAGUUAUUAAUCUUUAUUUAGACAAUGAAUAGAAUUUUCUAUCAAAAGUUUAACCGAUUCUGAUUUUUUUAUAAAAUUUUAAAUACUUUAGAUAAUAUUUAACAGUAUGAAUUAUCUAGUCGGACUCUCUCUCUUUAUAUAUUGUUUUUAAAUAAGG